RNAcentral lists this ribosomal RNA (491 nucleotides) under uncultured bacterium. RNAcentral's name for it is "partial 16S ribosomal RNA". It matches the Rfam family "Bacterial small subunit ribosomal RNA", at positions 29 to 506 of the family's 1533-position model. The record is from RNAcentral.
AGUGAACGCUGGCGGUAGGCCUAACACAUGCAAGUCGAACGGCAGCACAGUAAGAGCUUGCUCUUACGGGUGGCGAGUGGCGGACGGGUGAGGAAUACAUCGGAAUCUACUUUUUCGUGGGGGAUAACGUAGGGAAACUUACGCUAAUACCGCAUACGACCUACGGGUGAAAGCAGGGGAUCUUCGGACCUUGCGCGAUUGAAUGAGCCGAUGUCGGAUUAGCUAGUUGGCGGGGUAAAGGCCCACCAAGGCGACGAUCCGUAGCUGGUCUGAGAGGAUGAUCAGCCACACUGGAACUGAGACACGGUCCAGACUCCUACGGGAGGCAGCAGUGGGGAAUAUUGGACAAUGGGCGCAAGCCUGAUCCAGCCAUACCGCGUGGGUGAAGAAGGCCUUCGGGUUGUAAAGCCCUUUUGUUGGGAAAGAAAAGCAGCAGGUUAAUACCCCGCUGUUCUGAAGGUACCCAAAGAAUAAGCACCGGCUAACUUCGU